UACGGGGUGAGCAAGCGUUGUUCGGAUUUACUGGGCGUAAAUGGCGCGUAGGCGGUCGUGACAAGUCACUUGUGAAAUCUCCGGGCUUAACUCGGAACGGUCAAGUGAUACUGUCGGACUAGAGUACAGAAGGGGCAACUGGAAUUCUCGGUGUAGCGGUGAAAUGCGUAGAUAUCGAGAGGAACACCUGCGGCGAAGGCGGGUUGCUGGGCUGAUACUGACGCUGAGGCGCGAAAGCCAGGGGAGCGAACGGG
Molecule: ribosomal RNA, 254 nt
Filed under: uncultured bacterium
Lineage: Bacteria
Description: partial 16S ribosomal RNA
Rfam family: Bacterial small subunit ribosomal RNA
Source: RNAcentral